CCUACGGGUGGCAGCAGUAGGGAAUCUUUCACAAUGGGCGAAAGCCUGAUGGAGCACCGCCGCGUGCAGGAUGAAGGCCUUCGGGUUGUAAACUGCUUUUAUAAGCGAGAAAUAUGAUGGUAACUUAUGAAUAAGGAUCGGCUAACUACGUGCCAGCAGCCGCGGUCAUACGUAGGAUCCGAGCAUUAUCCGGAGUGACUGGGUGUAAAGAGUUGCGUAGGUGGCAUAAUAAGUAGCUAGUGAAAUCUGGUGGCUCAACCAUUCAGACUAUUAGCUAAACUGUUAAGCUCGAGACCGUUAGGGGUAACUGGAAUUUCUAGUGUAGGAGUGAAAUCCGUAGAUAUUAGAAGGAACACCAAUAGCGUAGGCAGGUUGCUGGGACGGUUCUGACACUAAGGCACGAAAGCGUGGGGAGCAAACAGGAUUAGAUACCCCGGUAGUC
RNAcentral lists this ribosomal RNA (442 nucleotides) under uncultured bacterium. Its description in RNAcentral is "partial 16S ribosomal RNA". It matches the Rfam family "Bacterial small subunit ribosomal RNA", at positions 338 to 795 of the family's 1533-position model. The record is from RNAcentral.